This 432-nucleotide ribosomal RNA is filed under the name uncultured bacterium. RNAcentral describes it as "partial 16S ribosomal RNA". It matches the Rfam family "Bacterial small subunit ribosomal RNA", at positions 29 to 507 of the family's 1533-position model. The record is from RNAcentral.
ACGCACGCUGGCGGCAUGCCUCACACAUGCACGUCGAACGAGACCUUCGGGUCUAGUGGCGCACGGGUGCGUAACGCGUGGGAAUCUGCCCUUGGGUUCGGAAUAACUCGCCGAAAGGCGUGCUAAUACCGGAUGAUGACGUAAGUCCAAAGAUUUAUCGCCCAAGGAUGAGCCCGCGUUGGAUUAGCUAGUUGGUGAGGUAAAGGCUCACCAAGGCGACGAUCCAUAGCUGGUCUGAGAGGAUGAUCAGCCACACUGGGACUGAGACACGGCCCAGACUCCUACGGGAGGCAGCAGUGGGGAAUAUUGGACAAUGGGCGAAAGCCUGAUCCAGCAAUGCCGCGUGAGUGAUGAAGGCCUUAGGGUUGUAAAGCUCUUUUACCCGGGAUGAUAAUGACCGUACCGGGAGAAUAAGCUCCGGCUAACUCCGUG